UUUUAUUUCUCGCUCCCACUGACAUAUAGGUCCCAGGCUGACGGUGGCCCGUGCUGAUGUGUCAUACAAGAGAGUACGCGAUACGUACGCAAUGUGUAGAGUCAGGACUGUUGUUUCAACCUCAGGGACCGUAUUGAUCACGUAUUUUCAUGUACCAGGACCGUAUUAAAGCAAUACGCAAGUUUCAGGACCAAGUUGAACGUGGCCAGCGACUAUGAGGACUAUAGAUGCAAUUAUCUCUAUCCACUACAAGUGGCGUCUUCCAGGCCUACAACAAUCAAAAACAAAAGGUGCCAUCAGAGUCUGUUGCAGCUCGUACUUAAACUCAAAUUCUAUGAAAACCUUGUACUGUGCAAACACAGGCAAAACAGCUACUGAUCGACAUCUUCUAUGUCAUUACUACUACCUUCCUGAUAUUUAAUUACUACUACCUCUAUGAAGAAAUUUUAAAUCACUAUAACCACAAAUUCCUAUAUACUACUCUCUUCAUCUCAAAAUAAGUGUCUAGUAGUUCAUCCCAAAAUAAGCGUCUCGUAGUUGAUAAGCUCUAUUAAAUAUAACUUUACCUAUGUUCCUCCCUGAUGCAUCACACGACAAAAAAGUGGUUGAAACCAUCAAAAGUGCCAUCAAGCACAGAACACUUGUGUUCAUCCGGAUUAGAG
Molecule: long non-coding RNA, 662 nt
Filed under: Triticum aestivum (bread wheat)
Lineage: Eukaryota; Viridiplantae; Streptophyta; Magnoliopsida; Poales; Poaceae
Description: long non-coding RNA (TAES_LNC023182)
Source: RNAcentral